Molecule: ribosomal RNA, 254 nt
Filed under: uncultured bacterium
Lineage: Bacteria
Description: partial 16S ribosomal RNA
Rfam family: Bacterial small subunit ribosomal RNA
Source: RNAcentral
UACAGAGGUCUCAAGCGUUGUUCGGAUUCAUUGGGCGUAAAGGGCGCGUAGGCGGCGGGGUCAGUCGGGUGUGAAAUCUUGGGGCUUAACCCCGAAACGGCACUCGAAACUGCCCGGCUGGAGGGCCGGAGAGGAGAUCGGAAUUCACGGUGUAGCAGUGAAAUGCGUAGAGAUCGUGAGGAAGACCCGUGGCGAAGGCGGAUCUCUGGACGGCUAACUGACGCUGAGGCGCGAAGGCCAAGGGAGCAAACGGG